CAGCCUGUGGCCAAUCGCAACGCCGGAAGGAGCUGAUAGACACGGAGGUUGCUCUGCUCGGAAGAGACCGAGCCCCAGGGCCGCCGUGCCCUCUGGGCGGUUGUGAGGCUGUGCAGCCUGCGGCUUCUGCCCUCUUUCUUUCCCUGACUGGUUGGGUCCGGCCUCCGAGGCCUGUACCCCGCCUUUUCCGCAUAGGCAUGUGACCAGGGUCUCCCGCGGAGUUUUGCUGAGAAUUUUGGAAAUGAAGCAUGUGGAGCGCCUAUGUCGGGGGAGAGAGGCCGAGCUGAAGGAGCACGGGCGCCGGCCUCGGCCUCUGGGGAGCCGGGCCCGCUCGCCUCCCUGCGCGGGGCUAGCCCGAGCCUGGAACUCGGGAGGCCCAGGAGCGAAGUGAAAGCCCCUUCUGGUCCCCCAGGGCUCCACUCCCGCAGCAGCCCGGCUCCGUCGGCGUCAGUGGAGCCCCAGGCCUGGGUCCGAGAUGAGCGAGACGCUGCUCUGGCUCGCGGUCGCCCGAGCGCUCCCAAAACCAGGGAACAGGCCCCAGGAGAGAAGCCCCUAGAAGUUUCCUGGAGCAGGGAGUCUCCUGUAUCCUGUUAGCUCUGCAAAGGAAUCUGGACUUUAUUCUGAGGGCCUUGGAGAACCCCUGCAAAGUUUUUUAAAAGGUGGACUAAGAGAUUGGCAUUUCACAACAUGACUCUCCGAAUUGAAACACUAAGAAGAUUGGCGAAAUUUAACAUUUACAGAUUAGUAAUUUAACCCAGGUGACUCGCGAUGAGGGACAUGGCUACCCUUCACUUUUGGAGGGAGUUUUAAGUGAUACAGAUCUUUUUGCCAAGCAAUUUUUUUUUUUUUUUUGAGACGGAGCGUCGUUCUGUCGCCCUGGCUGGAGUGGAAUGCCGUGAUCUCGGCUCACUGCAACCUCCGCCUUCCUGAGUUCAAGCGAUUCUCCUGCCUCAGCCUCCCUAGUAGCUGGGAUUACAGGCGCGCGCCACCAGGAUCUGCUAAUUUUUUUGUAUUUUUAGUAGAGACGGGGUUUCACCAUGUUGGCCAGGCUGGUCUCGAACUCCUGACCUCAGGUGAUCCACCUGCCUCGACCUCGCAAAGUGCUGAGAUUAACAGGCGUGAGCCACCGCGCCCAGCAGCAAUUUAAAAAUCUAAUAAAAUUGUGCAUAUCCCCCAAAACAAUAA
Molecule: long non-coding RNA, 1185 nt
Filed under: Homo sapiens (human)
Lineage: Eukaryota; Metazoa; Chordata; Mammalia; Primates; Hominidae
Description: novel transcript
Source: RNAcentral